Molecule: ribosomal RNA, 213 nt
Filed under: uncultured bacterium
Lineage: Bacteria
Description: partial 16S ribosomal RNA
Rfam family: Bacterial small subunit ribosomal RNA
Source: RNAcentral
UACGUAGGGGGCAAGCGUUAAUCGGAAUUACUGGGCGUAAAGCGUGCGCAGGCGGUUUUGUAAGUCUGAUGUGAAAUCCCCGGGCUCAACCUGGGAAUUGCAUUGGAGACUGCAAGGCUAGAAUCUGGCAGAGGGGGGUAGAAUUCCACGUGUAGCAGUGAAAUGCGUAGAGAUGUGGAGGAACACCGAUGGCGAAGGCAGCCCCCUGGGUCA